RNAcentral lists this non-coding RNA (30 nucleotides) under Rattus norvegicus (Norway rat). The record is from RNAcentral. Lineage: Eukaryota; Metazoa; Chordata; Mammalia; Rodentia; Muridae.
UCACAAAGAUAAAACAAUACAGGUGUUGCC